RNAcentral lists this long non-coding RNA (269 nucleotides) under Lathyrus oleraceus (garden pea). RNAcentral describes it as "Pisum sativum (pea) long non-coding RNA (PSAT_LNC014567)". Lineage: Eukaryota; Viridiplantae; Streptophyta; Magnoliopsida; Fabales; Fabaceae. The record is from RNAcentral.
UUUAUUGCUGGUUAUUUUGAAUUUAGACUCAUUAGAAUCUAUCUCUUUUUGAUCUUUUCAAAGAAGGAGAAGUUGUAAUAUGAACAUAUAUUUAAUUUAUGCAUUUUAAUGUAAACUUGAUAUGGUGCAAUGUUUCAGGAGGACCACGAAGGAAUGCCUUGAUCACACUUUACUUUAUUCUCAUGUCGACUCAAUUAAAAUGUAAGUUUGCUAAGCAUAAAAAAGGGGGAGACUUAAGUUGUUAUGCCCUUUAGGGAUUUGGUUUUGUU